This is a non-coding RNA of 43 nucleotides. It matches the Rfam family "Ascomycota telomerase RNA", at positions 1648 to 1690 of the family's 1858-position model. The record is from Rfam.
GAUUCCGGGACCCAUCUCGAGUUGGCGUCAGAGCUUCGUGCUC